Molecule: ribosomal RNA, 465 nt
Filed under: uncultured bacterium
Lineage: Bacteria
Description: partial 16S ribosomal RNA
Rfam family: Bacterial small subunit ribosomal RNA
Source: RNAcentral
GACGAACGCUGGCGGCGUGCUUAACACAUGCAAGUCGAACGGAAAGGCCCUGCUUGCAGGGUACUCGAGUGGCGAACGGGUGAGUAACACGUGGGUGAUCUGCCCUGCACUUCGGGAUAAGCCUGGGAAACUGGGUCUAAUACCGGAUAGGAGCCAUUUUUAGUGUGAUGGUUGGAAAGUUUUUUCGGUGUAGGAUGAGCUCGCGGCCUAUCAGCUUGUUGGUGGGGUAAUGGCCUACCAAGGCGGCGACGGGUAGCCGGCCUGAGAGGGUGGACGGCCACAUUGGGACUGAGAUACGGCCCAGACUCCCACGGGAGGCAGCAGUGGGGAAUAUUGCACAAUGGGCGCAAGCCUGAUGCAGCGACGCCGCGUGGGGGAUGACGGCCUUCGGGUUGUAAACUCAUUUCGCUAGGGACGAAGCUUUUUGUGACGGUACCUAGAUAAGAAGCACCGGCUAACUACGUG